Molecule: non-coding RNA, 77 nt
Organism: Cordylochernes scorpioides
Lineage: Eukaryota; Metazoa; Arthropoda; Arachnida; Pseudoscorpiones; Chernetidae
Source: the annotation of a GenBank genome assembly
GUGAGGGUCGGUGAAAGGAUGGUCAAACCGUUGGUUUUCAACUCCCACGACCCGGGUUCGAUUCCCGCAUUAGCACU